UACGGAGGGUGCAAGCGUUAUCCGGAUUCACUGGGUUUAAAGGGUGCGUAGGUGGGCAGGUAAGUCAGUGGUGAAAUCUCCGGGCUUAACUCGGAAACUGCCAUUGAUACUAUCUUUCUUGAAUACCGUGGAGGUCAGCGGAAUAUGUCAUGUAGCGGUGAAAUGCUUAGAUAUGACAUAGAACACCAAUUGCGAAGGCAGCUGGCUACACGAAUAUUGACACUGAUGCACGAAGGCGUGGGGAUCAAACAGG
RNAcentral lists this ribosomal RNA (253 nucleotides) under uncultured bacterium. RNAcentral's name for it is "partial 16S ribosomal RNA". It matches the Rfam family "Bacterial small subunit ribosomal RNA", at positions 524 to 776 of the family's 1533-position model. The record is from RNAcentral.